This 73-nucleotide transfer RNA is filed under the name Camelus bactrianus (Bactrian camel). It matches the Rfam family "tRNA". Rfam says of the family: Transfer RNA (tRNA) molecules are approximately 80 nucleotides in length. Their secondary structure includes four short double-helical elements and three loops (D, anti-codon, and T loops). The record is from Rfam by way of RNAcentral. Lineage: Eukaryota; Metazoa; Chordata; Mammalia; Artiodactyla; Camelidae. RNAcentral also lists the same sequence under 2 other names.
GAAGGUAUAGCUCAAGUGGUACAGUGCAUGCUUAGUAUGCAGAAGGUCCGGGGUUCAAUCCCCAGUACUUUCU